AUCAACAGAUUUUUGAAUGUGGAAAUAUUAGUGGGGCAUGCUGUAUUUGGGGUAUUUGGGGUUUAUUGUUUCUACAGGUGGACCGUUCCAAGUGGCAUGAUUCAGAGGAUUUGUUUGUCAGCAACGGAUCAAAUGGUUGUCCACUAAAUACCCUAGCAAGUAUGAAUGCGGCAUGGACCUAUGGGCUUUGUGUCUACUUGAAGAGCUACUGCACCAGCUCUCAGCAUUCAGUAUUUUCAAGACCACCAUGCACUUCUAACACAGACUUACAAGGAAAGUAUUCUAAGUAGGACCAUGUGCUGACCAUGGCCUUUUGGACCACCAUUUGGAAACUGCUGCUUUUUAAUAUUUAUUUAUUAGUCUAUAGCAGAACUCUUUUGGCCACAGCAUGAGCAUGCAUUUUAACAGUGUUAGUACUAUAAAAAUCUUAACACUGACUGUCUUGAUUUUUUUCUUAGAUAAAUCUUUCACUAUUAUUGUUCUACUUUUUUCAUAGUUGAUUUGCUGUAUUGGAAAAUGUAAGUUAUCACACUUGAAUAACUGUACAUGUGGAAUCAUUUAAAAAAUAAAAAAUACAUUUCCACAUAUGGACUUUUCA
Molecule: long non-coding RNA, 598 nt
Filed under: Apteryx rowi (Okarito brown kiwi)
Lineage: Eukaryota; Metazoa; Chordata; Aves; Apterygiformes; Apterygidae
Description: lncRNA (ENSARWG00000008272.1)
Source: RNAcentral